This 406-nucleotide ribosomal RNA is filed under the name uncultured bacterium. RNAcentral describes it as "partial 16S ribosomal RNA". It matches the Rfam family "Bacterial small subunit ribosomal RNA", at positions 30 to 526 of the family's 1533-position model. The record is from RNAcentral.
AUUGAACGCUGGCGGCAGGCCUAACACAUGCAAGUCGAACGAGUGGCGGACGGGUGAGUAAUGUCUGGGAAACUGCCUGAUGGAGGGGGAUAACUACUGGAAACGGUAGCUAAUACCGCAUACCAUCAGAUGUGCCCAGAUGGGAUUAGCUAGUUGGUGGGGUAACUGCUCACCAAGGCGACGAUCACUAGCUGGUCUGAGAGGAUGACCAUCCACACUGGAACGGAGACACGGCCCAGACUCCUACGGGAGGCAGCAUGGGGGAAGAUUGCACAAUGGGCGCAACCCUGAUGCAGCCAUGCCUCGUGUAUGAAGAAGGCCUUCGGGUUGUAAAGUACUUUCAGCGGGGAGGCGUUACCUGCAGAAGAAGCACCGGCUAACUCCGUGCCAGCAGCCGCGGUAAUUC